GGCAUGGUUUCUGUCCUCUGGGUCUAGCCCUCUAGGCAAGGACAUCACGCAAGGUCUGUGGGGCACAUGCAGAGAUGGGCAUGGUCAGCUGCCCAUGUGGGAGGCAGGUAGGGCUCCGAGGCGGAGCGUGCUGGGUGAGCCUUUGGGCUGAAGUUGUCACUAACUGGGAGGACAUGUUAGGGGAUGACUCCUGGGUGGAGAGCAGUGAGGCUUUUUUAAAUAGUCCACAGAGAAAGCUUUGGGUAAAUGGUCUUUGCAUGUUAGUUCUGCCCUUCAGGAGCUGCCAAGCACAGCUUCAGCUAUUCUCCACCUGCCUGGAGGGUCUGGGGAAACCAGAGGAGGAGGCUCCUGAUGGGUCAGCAUCCCUGGGGACCACAGUCAGCAUGACUCACCUGGCCCAGAGGGAACCGGAGAGCCUGGAGAGGUCGGAGCUCACCACCUCCCUGUCAUCUACAGCUGUGUUCUUCCACACAGCAGCCGGAGUGAUCCUUCCCCAUGGGCUUGCAUCAGUCUCCACGGUCUCUAAGCUUCCUCUGGGAACCUCCAAUUCCUAGUAUAUCAAGUCAGGAGGCUGACAAGAUGCUUUCUAGAAACCCUGAGAGCACUGCCCUUGGAAACUCCCAUCAUGAAGGGCAGGGGAACACUCCUUAUUCAAAGCAACCCUUCAGUGCGAGGAGACUUCCUGACAUGGAAAUUUGUAUGCCUCCUAUAAGCACCACCUGUUCGUGUCUGUGUGCCCCGGGAAGUGGAUUUACAGCUUAGGAUGUCUCAUUUCAACUGAACUAAUCCUCACAAAAUGGCCAAGUGAUGUAAAUGAUUCCCGUGAAGAAACUGCAAGCUGCAGAAAGGACUAAUGCUGCUGCCUGAGGGCACAGCAGAAUAGCUGACUCUGUCCCUCCCCAACUCCUAGCGCUCGCUGCUUCUCAGCUAAUGACUGGAUAAAAAUAAUGGCAGUCCGAUUGCAUCAAUCACUGAGUUGGUCAAAAGACUUGAAAUAUUAUGAAGAAUAAUGUUUGAAAUAUGGUCUCUCGUCCACUGUCCUUAAUAAUGACUCUCUCUGAGUGAUCACUGUACAUUGACACAGCUAAUGAAAGCAUGAAGCCACGGCAAUUAGCAAGACAUUUAGAAAUUUUUUUCAACUGGUUAAAAUCAUGAUAUAUUUAACCCAGCCCCUUACAAAUAUUGAUUAAAUUUGAUUAUUUUAAAUUUAUUACUUCAAAGUGAAAGGUCAUAAUCUAUUGGUCAAACACUUAUUCCUCUUGCUAUGUUGAAAUGGCUGGAAAAAUAUCUGAACACUUCAUAGUGACAUCUUAACAUGGACUCCUUGGUCGUCGUUAAAUAUUGUUGGAAGAUGCACAGAACUUGUUGCUGAAGAGUUGAAGACAACUUAAAUAAUUCAGUGUGAGAGGUCUGCCAUACAAUUACUGGAAAGUCUAGAUGACUCCAACAUAGUUCAGCUUGUAUUAUUUCUAGAUUCUUCAUUUCUGUAAUGAAUUACAUUGGAGAACUCUUCCCUGUGAGCUCUUAAGAUGUACCAGAAAAAAAAAAUUCUCAAUAGUAAAUGAGUUUCUUAA
Molecule: long non-coding RNA, 1574 nt
Organism: Camelus dromedarius (Arabian camel)
Lineage: Eukaryota; Metazoa; Chordata; Mammalia; Artiodactyla; Camelidae
Exons: 4
Source: RefSeq, a predicted model, not a curated record